Non-coding RNA from Pelobates cultripes (western spadefoot toad), 100 nucleotides. NCBI's taxonomy places the organism in Eukaryota, Metazoa, Chordata, Amphibia, Anura, Pelobatidae. The record is from the annotation of a GenBank genome assembly.
GGUUCCAUGGUGUAAUGGUUAGCACUCUGGACUCUGAAUCCAGCGAUCCGAGUUCAAAUCUCUGAAUCCAGCGAUCCGAGUUCAAAUCUCGGUGGGACCU